UACGGGGGGGGCAAGCGUUGUUCGGAAUUACUGGGCGUAAAGGGCUCGUAGGUGGCCAACUAAGUCAUACGUGAAAUCCCUCAGCUUAACUGGGGAACUGCGUCUGAUACUGGAUGGCUUGAGUUUGGGAGAGGGAUGCGGAAUUCCAGGUGUAGCGGUGAAAUUCGUAGAUAUCGGGAGGAACACCAGUGGCGAAGGCGGCGAUCUGGGAAGAUACUGACGCUGAGGUGCGAAAGCGUGGGGAGCGAACAGG
RNAcentral lists this ribosomal RNA (253 nucleotides) under uncultured bacterium. RNAcentral's name for it is "partial 16S ribosomal RNA". It matches the Rfam family "Bacterial small subunit ribosomal RNA", at positions 524 to 776 of the family's 1533-position model. The record is from RNAcentral.